GAAACUUUCCCUCAGUCUCACACACUUUUCAGCAUCAUUUUACUGCAAAAACUCUCUCUCCCUUCCUUUCUGAAAAACCAGACUUCAGAAAUUUUAGGAAAAACUUCAAAAAAAAAAACUUCUUGCUUUUGGUUUUCACAAGCUAGAAAUAAUGGUUUGAAUUCAUAGGAUCUUUCUUGAGUGUCUUGGUUGGGAUUUCUGGGUUCAAGUUGUGAGUUUUUACUAUUUCUUUAGCUAGGAUAUUUGUUGGUUGAAACUCUGGGUUUUUCUUGCUGAUUUCUGGUUGAAAACGUCCAAUUAGCUUUUGUUUGAUUGCUGUUGAUCUAAGCUCUGAAAUCAGCCUUGGUUUUCUGACCUUUAUUUGGUCAUUCCUCAACUAUAUUUUUCAGUUUCCAGGUAUGUAACAAUGUUCAUCCUAAAUGGAAUUAAUUUUGAGCUCAAAAAUCUAUGUUUGGAACUUAUUUUGGUUGACUGAACAUUUGAUGUUAGUUUUUGGGAAUCAUGACUGGGUUUAAUUUAGAGUAGAUUGAACCAUUUGUUAAUGUUAGUUUAACUGGCUGUUGAAUUUAAUCAUGAAAUCUCUGAUGUUAUGCUGCACAUGUGUUAAAACUUAACAAGGUUGAUUGCUGAAUCAAUGUAUAUACCUAUGAAAACUAUGUUCAAAUGGCUCUUUUAUGGUAGCACAAAAGGAAAAAAUGAAUCUGACCCUUUAAAUGGUCAGAUUCAUUCCUUAACAGUGCAUAAUAGUCUUGACUCCUUUAGUAUAUGUCUAAGUUAUUUUCCUUUCCCCUUUUUCUUCAUUACUAAGAUGAGAACUAUGGAGUAAAUCAUGGUUUGGAAAUCUUUGCUUGUCUGUAGGGCUGACCUUAAAACAUGGUUAGACUUAUGGACAACAUUGUUUUCCUUUACUCAUUUUUGUAUUAGGAUUAACUUGGUAACAUUGUAGGUUCCAACAUUUGAAGAUACUUUGCGAAUCUGACCCUUUCAUAUGGUUAGACCCAUGAGGAUCUUGGUUUGUUUAAAGCUGGAGCAGUAGCAGUUUAGGAAACUUCCUCUUUUCAUUUUGUUGUAAUUUAGUUUGAGGUAUUGAUGUAAUUUAUAUUUUGUACCCCUAUUUAAUUCCGGAAUUUGUAAUAAAUUGGAUUGGACUUUAUAAACUUAUAGACUAGUUAAUGCAGCUCCGGUAGUUUAUUUAGCCAAAUUCUAAAUGUAUAUUAGUAUGCUAUGUUUAAAAAAGGCAACAUUUGGC
RNAcentral lists this long non-coding RNA (1249 nucleotides) under Nicotiana tabacum (common tobacco). RNAcentral's name for it is "long non-coding RNA (NTAB_LNC001051)". The record is from RNAcentral. Lineage: Eukaryota; Viridiplantae; Streptophyta; Magnoliopsida; Solanales; Solanaceae.